AUUGAACGCUGGCGGCAUGCUUUACACAUGCAAGUCGAACGGUAGAGGGGGCAACCCUUGAGAGUGGCGAACGGGUGAGUAAUGCAUCGGAACGUGCCCAGUCGGUGGGGGAUAACUACUCGAAAGAGUGGCUAAUACCGCAUACGACCUGAGGGUGAAAGCGGGGGACCGAAAGGCCUCGCGCGAUUGGAGCGGCCGAUGUCAGAUUAGGUAGUUGGGUGGGGUAAAAGGCCUACCAAGCCUGCGAUCUGUAGCUGGUCUGAGAGGACGACCAGCCACACUGGGACUGAGACACGGCCCAGACUCCUACGGGAGGCAGCAGUGGGGAAUUUUGGACAAUGGGCGCAAGCCUGAUCCAGCAAUACCGCGUGUGUGAAGAAGGCCUGCGGGUUGUAAAGCACUUUCAGUUGGGAAGAUAAUGACGUUACCAACAGAAGAAGCACCGGCUAACUCCGUG
Molecule: ribosomal RNA, 457 nt
Filed under: uncultured bacterium
Lineage: Bacteria
Description: bacterial SSU rRNA
Rfam family: Bacterial small subunit ribosomal RNA
Source: RNAcentral